Molecule: non-coding RNA, 108 nt
Filed under: Escherichia coli
Lineage: Bacteria; Pseudomonadati; Pseudomonadota; Gammaproteobacteria; Enterobacterales; Enterobacteriaceae
Also listed under: 2 other names
Description: antisense sRNA RprA
Rfam family: RprA RNA
About the family: Translational regulation of the stationary phase sigma factor RpoS is mediated by the formation of a double-stranded RNA stem-loop structure in the upstream region of the rpoS messenger RNA, occluding the translation initiation site.
Source: RNAcentral
ACGGUUAUAAAUCAACAUAUUGAUUUAUAAGCAUGGAAAUCCCCUGAGUGAAACAACAAAUUGCUGUGUGUAGUCUUUGCCCAUCUCCCACGAUGGGCUUUUUUUUAA